UAACAAGGAUUCCCCUAGUAACGGCGAGUGAAGCGGGAAAAGCUCAAAUUUGUAAUCUGGCGCCUUUGGCGUCCGAGUUGUAAUCUCGAGAAGUAUUUUCCGCGCUGGACCGCACAUAAGUCUGUUGGAAUACAGCGUCAUAGUGGUGAGAACCCCGUAUAGGGUGCGGAUGCCCAGUGCUUUGUGAUAUACUUUCGAAGAGUCGAGUUGUUUGGGAAUGCAGCUCAAAUUGGGUGGUAAAUUCCAUCUAAAGCUAAAUAUUGGCGAGAGACCGAUAGCGAACAAGUACCGUGAGGGAAAGAUGAAAAGCACUUUGGAAAGAGAGUUAACAGUACGUGAAAUUGUUGGAAGGGAAACGCUUGAAGUCAGACUUGCAUUUUGGAGUUCAGCCGCAAGGUGUAUUCUUCAAUUCGCAGGCCAGCAUCAGUUUUGGGGGGUGGAAAAUCGUGGUUUGAAGGUAGCAGUCUCGGCUGUGUUAUAGCUUUCCACUGGAUUCACUUUUCGGGACUGAGGAACGCAGUACGCUUUUUGCAAGAUUCUCGGAUCUUUCGUACUUAGGAUGCUGGUGGAAUGGCUUU
RNAcentral lists this ribosomal RNA (578 nucleotides) under Microbotryum violaceum. RNAcentral describes it as "eukaryotic LSU rRNA". It matches the Rfam family "Eukaryotic large subunit ribosomal RNA", at positions 66 to 641 of the family's 3401-position model. Lineage: Eukaryota; Fungi; Basidiomycota; Microbotryomycetes; Microbotryales; Microbotryaceae. The record is from RNAcentral.